Molecule: ribosomal RNA, 432 nt
Filed under: uncultured eukaryote
Lineage: Eukaryota
Description: bacterial SSU rRNA
Rfam family: Eukaryotic small subunit ribosomal RNA
Source: RNAcentral
CAGUAGCGUAUAUUAAAGUUGUUGCAGUUAAAAAGCUCGUAGUUGGAUUUCUGACUGACCGCGUAUGGUCCGGCGUGCUCAGCGCGCUGUGUACCGUCGUGCGUCUGUCAUCCUUCCAGGAAGUUGUGCCUACCGGCUCGUUCGGCAGGGCGCUGCGACCUGGAUCUUUUACUUUGAAAAAUUAGAGUGUUCCAAGCAAGCUUACGCUUUGAAUACAUUAGCAUGGAAUAAUAAUAUAGGACUUGUGUUCUAUUUUGUUGGUUUCUAGGACAAAAGUAAUGAUUGAUAGGGAUAGUUGGGGGUGCUAGUAUUCAGCGGCCAGAGGUGAAAUUCUUGGAUUCGCUGAAGACUAACUACUGCGAAAGCAUUCACCAAGGAUGUCUUCUUUAAUCAAGAACGAAAGUUGGGGGAUCGAAGACGAUUAGAUACCGU